Molecule: ribosomal RNA, 254 nt
Filed under: uncultured bacterium
Lineage: Bacteria
Description: partial 16S ribosomal RNA
Rfam family: Bacterial small subunit ribosomal RNA
Source: RNAcentral
UACAGAGGGGGCAAGCGUUGUUCGGAAUUACUGGGCGUAAAGGGCGCGUAGGCGGCCUGCUAAGUCGAACGUAAAAUCCCCGAGCUCAACUCGGGAACUGCGUCCGAUACUGGCAGGCUUGAAUCCGGGAGAGGGAUGCGGAAUUCCAGGUGUAGCGGUGAAAUGCGUAGAUAUCUGGAGGAACACCGGUGGCGAAGGCGGCAUCCUGGACCGGCAUUGACGCUGAGGCGCGAAAGCCAGGGGAGCAAAGCGGG